Molecule: small RNA, 107 nt
Filed under: Marmota monax (woodchuck)
Lineage: Eukaryota; Metazoa; Chordata; Mammalia; Rodentia; Sciuridae
Source: RNAcentral
UUAAGGUAUGGUGAUGCAUACCUGUAAUCCCAGUAGCUCUGGAUGCUGAGGCAGGAGGAUUGCAAGUUCAAAGUCAGCCUCAGCAAUUUAGUGAUACCCUGUCUCAA